Molecule: ribosomal RNA, 509 nt
Filed under: Lactobacillus helveticus
Lineage: Bacteria; Bacillati; Bacillota; Bacilli; Lactobacillales; Lactobacillaceae
Description: bacterial SSU rRNA
Rfam family: Bacterial small subunit ribosomal RNA
Source: RNAcentral
CACGUGGGGAACCUGCCCCAUAGUCUGGGAUACCACUUGGAAACAGGUGCUAAUACCGGAUAAGAAAGCAGAUCGCAUGAUCAGCUUAUAAAAGGCGGCGUAAGCUGUCGCUAUGGGAUGGCCCCGCGGUGCAUUAGCUAGUUGGUAAGGUAACGGCUUACCAAGGCAAUGAUGCAUAGCCGAGUUGAGAGACUGAUCGGCCACAUUGGGACUGAGACACGGCCCAAACUCCUACGGGAGGCAGCAGUAGGGAAUCUUCCACAAUGGACGCAAGUCUGAUGGAGCAACGCCGCGUGAGUGAAGAAGGUUUUCGGAUCGUAAAGCUCUGUUGUUGGUGAAGAAGGAUAGAGGUAGUAACUGGCCUUUAUUUGACGGUAAUCAACCAGAAAGUCACGGCUAACUACGUGCCAGCAGCCGCGGUAAUACGUAGGUGGCAAGCGUUGUCCGGAUUUAUUGGGCGUAAAGCGAGCGCAGGCGGAAGAAUAAGUCUGAUGUGAAAGCCCUCGGCU